Molecule: ribosomal RNA, 276 nt
Filed under: uncultured prokaryote
Description: partial 16S ribosomal RNA
Rfam family: Archaeal small subunit ribosomal RNA
Source: RNAcentral
GUGUCAGCAGCCGCGGUAAUACCGGCAGCCCAAGUGAUGGCCGAUCUUAUUGGGCCUAAAGCGUCCGUAGCUGGCCGCACAAGUCCAUCGGGAAAUCCACCUGCCCAACAGGUGGACGCCCGGUGGAAACUGUGUGGCUUGGGACCGGAAGGCGCGACGGGUACGUCCGGGGUAGGAGUGAAAUCCCGUAAUCCUGGACGGACCGCCGAUGGCGAAAGCACGUCGCGAAAACGGAUCCGACAGUGAGGGACGAAAGCCAGGGUCUCGAACCGGAUU